This is a non-coding RNA of Microcebus murinus (gray mouse lemur), 398 nucleotides long. The record is from RefSeq and is a predicted model, not a curated record. Lineage: Eukaryota; Metazoa; Chordata; Mammalia; Primates; Cheirogaleidae.
GAACGCCCCCGGGGGAUCCAGGAGCUCCGCCCGGGACAACAGAGUGAGGUCAGCAAAUCCUGCCCCCCAAAAGCAGCAAUGAUGCAGGACAAAACUGUCAAAAAUAGCCAUUGCAGGCCUCUGGAAAUAGACCAAAUGCAUACAGCAAGCUGAGAAGCAUUUAUUAAUGGAAAUUACUAAAUAUCAAGUAAGAACAGUAUGAAUCUGUGGCAUGUUUGCCUAUGUGUGGUCCUAUUCUUGAGAGCAACAAAGGAAAUAUGACUGAUGACUGACUUCUCAUCAGAAAAAUGGAGGCCCAAGGUAGAGGAAUGACAUAUGCAAAACGCUGGGAUAAAGCCAACCGCCAACCAAGAAUUUUAUAUGUACCAAAUAUCAAAAAUAAAAGUCAAAUAAAUACA